Molecule: ribosomal RNA, 2336 nt
Filed under: Escherichia coli Bd5610_99
Lineage: Bacteria; Pseudomonadati; Pseudomonadota; Gammaproteobacteria; Enterobacterales; Enterobacteriaceae
Description: bacterial LSU rRNA
Rfam family: Bacterial large subunit ribosomal RNA
Source: RNAcentral
UUUGUAUAAUGGGUCAGCGACUUAUAUUCUGUAGCAAGGUUAACCGAAUAGGGGAGCCGAAGGGAAACCGAGUCUUAACCGGGCGUUAAGUUGCAGGGUAUAGACCCGAAACCCGGUGAUCUAGCCAUGGGCAGGUUGAAGGUUGGGUAACACUAACUGGAGGACCGAACCGACUAAUGUUGAAAAAUUAGCGGAUGACUUGUGGCUGGGGGUGAAAGGCCAAUCAAACCGGGAGAUAGCUGGUUCUCCCCGAAAGCUAUUUAGGUAGCGCCUCGUGAAUUCAUCUCCGGGGGUAGAGCACUGUUUCGGCAAGGGGGUCAUCCCGACUUACCAACCCGAUGCAAACUGCGAAUACCGGAGAAUGUUAUCACGGGAGACACACGGCGGGUGCUAACGUCCGUCGUGAAGAGGGAAACAACCCAGACCGCCAGCUAAGGUCCCAAAGUCAUGGUUAAGUGGGAAACGAUGUGGGAAGGCCCAGACAGCCAGGAUGUUGGCUUAGAAGCAGCCAUCAUUUAAAGAAAGCGUAAUAGCUCACUGGUCGAGUCGGCCUGCGCGGAAGAUGUAACGGGGCUAAACCAUGCACCGAAGCUGCGGCAGCGACACUGUGUGUUGUUGGGUAGGGGAGCGUUCUGUAAGCCUGUGAAGGUGUACUGUGAGGUAUGCUGGAGGUAUCAGAAGUGCGAAUGCUGACAUAAGUAACGAUAAAGCGGGUGAAAAGCCCGCUCGCCGGAAGACCAAGGGUUCCUGUCCAACGUUAAUCGGGGCAGGGUGAGUCGACCCCUAAGGCGAGGCCGAAAGGCGUAGUCGAUGGGAAACAGGUUAAUAUUCCUGUACUUGGUGUUACUGCGAAGGGGGGACGGAGAAGGCUAUGUUGGCCGGGCGACGGUUGUCCCGGUUUAAGCGUGUAGGCUGGUUUUCCAGGCAAAUCCGGAAAAUCAAGGCUGAGGCGUGAUGACGAGGCACUACGGUGCUGAAGCAACAAAUGCCCUGCUUCCAGGAAAAGCCUCUAAGCAUCAGGUAACAUCAAAUCGUACCCCAAACCGACACAGGUGGUCAGGUAGAGAAUACCAAGGCGCUUGAGAGAACUCGGGUGAAGGAACUAGGCAAAAUGGUGCCGUAACUUCGGGAGAAGGCACGCUGAUAUGUAGGUGAAGUCCCUCGCGGAUGGAGCUGAAAUCAGUCGAAGAUACCAGCUGGCUGCAACUGUUUAUUAAAAACACAGCACUGUGCAAACACGAAAGUGGACGUAUACGGUGUGACGCCUGCCCGGUGCCGGAAGGUUAAUUGAUGGGGUCAGCGCAAGCGAAGCUCUUGAUCGAAGCCCCGGUAAACGGCGGCCGUAACUAUAACGGUCCUAAGGUAGCGAAAUUCCUUGUCGGGUAAGUUCCGACCUGCACGAAUGGCGUAAUGAUGGCCAGGCUGUCUCCACCCGAGACUCAGUGAAAUUGAACUCGCUGUGAAGAUGCAGUGUACCCGCGGCAAGACGGAAAGACCCCGUGAACCUUUACUAUAGCUUGACACUGAACAUUGAGCCUUGAUGUGUAGGAUAGGUGGGAGGCUUUGAAGUGUGGACGCCAGUCUGCAUGGAGCCGACCUUGAAAUACCACCCUUUAAUGUUUGAUGUUCUAACGUGGACCCGUGAUCCGGGUUGCGGACAGUGUCUGGUGGGUAGUUUGACUGGGGCGGUCUCCUCCUAAAGAGUAACGGAGGAGCACGAAGGUUGGCUAAUCCUGGUCGGACAUCAGGAGGUUAGUGCAAUGGCAUAAGCCAGCUUGACUGCGAGCGUGACGGCGCGAGCAGGUGCGAAAGCAGGUCAUAGUGAUCCGGUGGUUCUGAAUGGAAGGGCCAUCGCUCAACGGAUAAAAGGUACUCCGGGGAUAACAGGCUGAUACCGCCCAAGAGUUCAUAUCGACGGCGGUGUUUGGCACCUCGAUGUCGGCUCAUCACAUCCUGGGGCUGAAGUAGGUCCCAAGGGUAUGGCUGUUCGCCAUUUAAAGUGGUACGCGAGCUGGGUUUAGAACGUCGUGAGACAGUUCGGUCCCUAUCUGCCGUGGGCGCUGGAGAACUGAGGGGGGCUGCUCCUAGUACGAGAGGACCGGAGUGGACGCAUCACUGGUGUUCGGGUUGUCAUGCCAAUGGCACUGCCCGGUAGCUAAAUGCGGAAGAGAUAAGUGCUGAAAGCAUCUAAGCACGAAACUUGCCCCGAGAUGAGUUCUCCCUGACCCUUUAAGGGUCCUGAAGGAACGUUGAAGACGACGACGUUGAUAGGCCGGGUGUGUAAGCGCAGCGAUGCGUUGAGCUAACCGGUACUAAUGAACCGUGAGGCUUAACCU